This 2019-nucleotide long non-coding RNA is filed under the name Equus caballus (horse). RNAcentral's name for it is "lncRNA (ENSECAG00000058938.1)". The record is from RNAcentral. Lineage: Eukaryota; Metazoa; Chordata; Mammalia; Perissodactyla; Equidae.
GGAAGGCUCAGUGAGUUCAUUCCGAGAGGACGCUCUGAGCAAGGGUUGGGCUCUGGACACAAAGGCGUGAGGGGAAGCUGGGCCAGGGGGCCUCAGAUGGACUCACUGGGGGCUGGGGGAGCAUCAUGAGUGGCCCUGAGUGAAGAUGUGUUUCCAUCUGUGCCCCUGGGAAUACCUUCUGCCAGGAGUUGAUGGAGGAUGCUGAGGCCUGAGGCCACGCUCCUCCAGCUUUUCAAGUCUCGGUGAUUUUGGAAACAGCUGCAGGGACUUCACCCCCUGCCAGGCUUUGGACAGCGGUGGCCCCUUCAGAUCAGUGGAAGGCUCUCCUCCUUUUCCUUCCUCCCUCGGAGGUUUUCUUUUUGCACGUUGGACUUCUCUUCAUGGAUCAUCUGCCAGAUAGGUGGACCAAGAAUUCUUACUCUUUACAGAUUUUCUUCCCUUAAUGGUCCUGUUCUGUGCUGUCACCCUGGCACUCUUAGCAGCUGGCAGGAAAUGUUUAUAGAGCAAGCUUUUCUUUCUCUUUUUAAUAGCCUUCUAGGCUGCCACCUCCCAAAUAAGAACCUCGUUAACCAGAAGGACUCUAGGCUACUGAUUUAUAUUCCAGUCAUACCAAGAGGAAAAGAAAUGACAAAGGGAAAAAGAAAAUGCCAAAGUAUCCAUGGACUGGUUCCAACACCCUGUCUGAUGACGAGUGUGUAUAUCUAUUUAAGUUCUGGGUGCUAAGGGAUUCCUUCCAGAUUUUAGUAUUUGACCUAUUACCCUUGUGUCACAUGGAUUCUCUGUACCUCUUGUGGGUUUGCUGAAAACAAGGGUAAGAAUUUAAUUGUUCCAUGCCAUUUAAAUAAGAAAUCUAUUACUUUCAAAUAAUAAAGGCACUUAUUUCAACAGAGAUGUUAGUAUCUUAGUAAAGAUGGUGUCCAAGCUCACGGUGUCUUCGGAGGAUGGCUAAGGGCUCACCGCCUAUCACCCUGCACAGACACUGAAGGGCCAGCAUCCCUCCGUGAGUAGUGACCCGAGGGCCAUAAAACACAGCUGAAAGUCUUUGGUGGUCCGAAUUCCAGCUCAGUGCUUCAAGGAAGGCUUCCAGGAGGAGGAAGUGCCUUUGGAAUGGGGCUUUGGAACUGGCGUCAUAGAGAACGCAGGCUGUUCCCCAAUAUCCACGCCCCUCUACUUCCAUAGUAGUAGAAUCCCUAAUUUUUAGCUGGGGCCUCCCCCAUACAAAGUAAAGUUUUUUUUUAAUAUUGCUUGCAACAAUGGCCCCAAUUAUUCCCCUUCCUGUACACACAUCCUUCUCCAAAGUGACUUUGUAACCCCUCCUAUUUGGUGGUGGAGUCUAUUCCCCACCCCCACCUCCCACCCCCAACUUGAAUCCAGGCCAGACUUGUGACUUGCUUUGGCCAAUACAACGUGAUGGAAGUGACAUUGUGCCAAUUCUGAGCCUAGACCCCCAGAGGCCUUGCACGCUUCCACUCAAAAUCUUGGACUCCUGCCCAACCACCAUGUGGACAAGCCAGAGCUAGCCCUCUGGAGGAUAGGAGCCCACCUGGAGCAGAGACAAACUGUCCUAGCUGAGGUCAUCCUAGACCAGCCAGCACCCAGCCAAGCAGGCAGCUGACUGCAGGUACACAGUAGGCUCAGCCAAGACUACAAAAACUACCCAGCUGAACUCAGCCCAAAUGGCCAACCCAUAGAACCAUGUGCUAAAUAAAUGCUUAUUGAUUUUACUUUUAACAAAUUGUUUUAUUGAGGUCAUAUUGGCUUAUAACAUUGUAUAAAUUUCAGAUGUACAUUAUUAUAUUUCAGUUUCUGUAUAGACUGAAUUGUGUUCACUACCAACAGUCUAGUUUUCAUCUGUCACCAUACAUAUGUGCCCCUUUACCCUUUUUGCCCUCCCCCCACCCCUUCCUCUCCAGUAACCACCAAUCUGUUCUCCUUAUCUAUGUGUUUGUUUGUUUAUCUUCCAAAUGUGAAUGAAAUUGUAUGGUAUUUGUCUUUCUCUGACAUUUCGCUUAGCAUAAU